AACGAACGCUGGCGGCGCGUCUUAACCAUGCAAGUCGAGCGGCAGGCAGCAAUGCCGAGAGCGGCGGACUGGUGAGUAACACGUUGAUAACGUACCCCGAUGUCCGGGACAGCCUGUAGUAAUAGAGGGUAAUACCGGAUAGAUCACUGUUUACGUGAGGUAGACAGCGGGAAAGGAGCUUCUGCUCCGCGUCGGGAUCGGUCUGCGGUCCAUCAGCUGGACGGCGGGGUAAAGGCCCGCCGUGGCGAGGACGGGUAUCCGGCCUGAGAGGGCGGACGGAAACAUUGGAACGGAGAUACGGCCGAGACACCUACGGGAGGCAGCAGGGAAGAAUAGUCCGGAAGGGGGGGAACCCUGACGGAGCGAAGCCGCGUGAACGAAGAAGGCCGGAAGGUUGUAAAGUUCGUUUCUGUCCGAGGAAUAAGUUUCGGAGGAAAUGCCGGGACGGUGACGGUAGGGAAGGAAUAAGCACCGGCUAAUUACGUG
This 486-nucleotide ribosomal RNA is filed under the name uncultured bacterium. RNAcentral's name for it is "partial 16S ribosomal RNA". It matches the Rfam family "Bacterial small subunit ribosomal RNA", at positions 29 to 507 of the family's 1533-position model. The record is from RNAcentral.